RNAcentral lists this ribosomal RNA (253 nucleotides) under uncultured bacterium. Its description in RNAcentral is "partial 16S ribosomal RNA". It matches the Rfam family "Bacterial small subunit ribosomal RNA", at positions 524 to 776 of the family's 1533-position model. The record is from RNAcentral.
UACGGGGGGGGCAAGCGUUGUUCGGAAUUACUGGGCGUAAAGGGUCUGUAGGUGGCCAACUAAGUCAGACGUGAAAUCCCUCAGCUUAACUGGGGAACUGCGUCUGAUACUGGAUGGCUCGAGUGCAGGAGAGGAACGCGGAAUUCCAGGUGUAGCGGUGAAAUGCGUAGAUAUCUGGAGGAACACCGGUGGCGAAGGCGGCGUUCUGGACUGUAACUGACACUGAGGAACGAAAGCCAGGGGAGCAAACGGG